This 1359-nucleotide ribosomal RNA is filed under the name uncultured bacterium. RNAcentral's name for it is "bacterial SSU rRNA". It matches the Rfam family "Bacterial small subunit ribosomal RNA", at positions 28 to 1381 of the family's 1533-position model. The record is from RNAcentral.
AUUGAACGCUGGCGGCAGGCCUAACACUUGCAAGUCGAGCGGUAGAGAGAAGCUUGCUUCUCUUGAGAGCGGCGGACGGGUGAGUAAUGCCUAGGAAUCUGCCUGGUAGUGGGGGAUAACGUUCGGAAACGGACGCUAAUACCGCAUACGUCCUACGGGAGAAAGCAGGGGACCUUCGGGCCUUGCGCUAUCAGAUGAGCCUAGGUCGGAUUAGCUAGUUGGUGAGGUAAUGGCUCACCAAGGCGACGAUCCGUAACUGGUCUGAGAGGAUGAUCAGUCACACUGGAACUGAGACACGGUCCAGACUCCUACGGGAGGCAGCAGUGGGGAAUAUUGGACAAUGGGCGAAAGCCUGAUCCAGCCAUGCCGCGUGUGUGAAGAAGGUCUUCGGAUUGUAAAGCACUUUAAGUUGGGAGGAAGGGCAGUAAAUUAAUACUUUGCUGUUUUGACGUUACCGACAGAAUAAGCACCGGCUAACUCUGUGCCAGCAGCCGCGGUAAUACAGAGGGUGCAAGCGUUAAUCGGAAUUACUGGGCGUAAAGCGCGCGUAGGUGGUUUGUUAAGUUGGAUGUGAAAUCCCCGGGCUCAACCUGGGAACUGCAUUCAAAACUGACUGACUAGAGUAUGGUAGAGGGUGGUGGAAUUUCCUGUGUAGCGGUGAAAUGCGUAGAUAUAGGAAGGAACACCAGUGGCGAAGGCGACCACCUGGACUAAUACUGACACUGAGGUGCGAAAGCGUGGGGAGCCAACAGGAUUAGAUACCCUGGUAGUCCACCCCGUAAACGAAUGUCAACUAGCUGUUGGAAGCAUGAAGCUUUUAGUGGCGCAGUUAACGCAUUAAGUUGUCCGCCUGGGGAGUAAGGCUGCAAGGUUAAAACUCAAAUGAAUUGACGGGGGCCCGCACAAGCGGUGGAGCAUGUGGUUUAAUUCGAAGCAACGCGAAGAACCUUACCAGGCCUUGACAUACAAUGAACUUUCUAGAGAUAGAUUGGUGCCUUCGGGAACAUUGAGACAGGUGCUGCAUGGCUGUCGUCAGCUCGUGUCGUGAGAUGUUGGGUUAAGUCCCGUAACGAGCGCAACCCUUGUCCUUAGUUACCAGCACGUAAUGGUGGGCACUCUAAGGAGACUGCCGGUGACAAACCGGAGGAAGGUGGGGAUGACGUCAAGUCAUCAUGGCCCUUACGGCCUGGGCUACACACGUGCUACAAUGGUCGGUACAGAGGGUUGCCAAGCCGCGAGGUGGAGCUAAUCCCAUAAAACCGAUCGUAGUCCGGAUCGCAGUCUGCAACUCGACUGCGUGAAGUCGGAAUCGCUAGUAAUCGCGAAUCAGAAUGUCGCGGUGAAUACGUUCCAGGGCCU